RNAcentral lists this unclassified non-coding RNA (215 nucleotides) under Hevea brasiliensis (rubber tree). Lineage: Eukaryota; Viridiplantae; Streptophyta; Magnoliopsida; Malpighiales; Euphorbiaceae. The record is from RNAcentral.
GUGAAAAAAAAGCUACCAAAACCAUGUUCUCUGUGUCCAAACUGUUAAAAUUACAUACACGGAUACACUACAUAGGCAUCGACUGGAAAUCACUCGAAGAAGUUACCAAGGCAUUCUCCUGAACAAGGAUUUUGAGAAAGAAGCAUUACUAGCUGGUGAAAUUUUCAAUGACAAUAGAAAAACACCAUUCAGAUAGGGCCUGAACUUGUUCUGCG